Molecule: long non-coding RNA, 1250 nt
Organism: Phascolarctos cinereus (koala)
Lineage: Eukaryota; Metazoa; Chordata; Mammalia; Diprotodontia; Phascolarctidae
Source: RefSeq, a predicted model, not a curated record
GUGGAAGAUACAAUGAAAGAGGUACUUCUGCCUAUCCACCACGAGCAGUAGAAGCAGGGCUUCUAUGUAUGUGGUUGACAGACAAAAAAGGGCCUCUCGAAUAAAACCAAGUGGAACAGCUGAUAUAGCUACACAGCUGUCGUUCCCAUUCCUACAUUAGACAUUGCCAUCGUUGUCUGUUUUUCUCCUCGUUCACACAUUGGCCACAUGGCACCAUUGGAAGAAUGGUCUUAUCUUUGUUCAAUCAAGCCAAAGUCAUGGGGCCCAGGGCCUCGUGGAAAAUGUAGUUUUCUUCUGAUUAGAUGUGCUUCUUUCAUGAUAGGAGGAUAAUGCCAUCUGGGAGGCCAUGGGAUACAACACCUAAAUGAUGUUGAAGGUGCCUACUGCUUCUCUACUCGUUUCUGGGAUUGCUUGUUGGUACAGAGGUUUGGGGAAGUGAAGUUGACUUUAUCCUCUACAUUCAAGAGCCUGAACCACCCAACAGAGACAGUGGUAACCAGGAGUCUUGUUAUAAUUCUAGCCAGCUGAAUGUUCACUUCAUGUGGGGAGCAGUGGCCCUUGAUGUUAUUAUGCUGGGAUAGAGAAGGACCAUCUUUCUUCAUCUCUUGCUGAAAAUACAUCAUCUGAAAAAUGCAUCAAAGAGGGUCAACAGCCAGAAGAGAGAUGGAGCCACAAAAUAACACUCUCAGCCAAGAAUAUAACCACUGAAAACUCAGAAGAAUGCAUGAAGAUAAAAAAGAAGAGAAACAAAAGCAAAGAAAGGCCAGAUCAAAUGAAAAAACAGCCACAGGGUUUCUUCAUCUCUAUGUAAUGGACACUGGCCAGUGAGUUCUAAGUAGUGAAAGCACACACAGCGGACCCAGGUGGAUGUUUGAUUAGCCUGAUUCUGAAAAUUUGUGAAGAUACGAAUGGAGGUGCCUAGCUAUCCACUUCAGAGCAUGCACAGGGCCUUGUGAGACCUAGAAAGAUCCAGGAACUGGAAUCCAUGCCAGAGUUGGCUGGCAGUCAAGCCCAUUGAGGAUACCCAGGCCAGAAGUACAUCAAUGGAAGCCAAAGUGUCAUUCUAUGGCCCGGGAACAGCUUGUCCAGCAGCCAUGUCACACAUGGAAGUGAAUUUGCUGAGGUCAAUGUUUCAUAGCAACUGAUUUUUAAUUUGAGCCCACUCUUCUGCAGGAAACACGGUGGUAAAGGGGUGAAUGAGUCCCAGUUUUAGUAGGGAUAUUUUAUGCUGUGGUUUGGGCUAUAUUCUU